RNAcentral lists this ribosomal RNA (253 nucleotides) under uncultured bacterium. RNAcentral's name for it is "partial 16S ribosomal RNA". It matches the Rfam family "Bacterial small subunit ribosomal RNA", at positions 524 to 776 of the family's 1533-position model. The record is from RNAcentral.
UACGGAGGGUGCGAGCGUUGUCCGGAAUCACUGGGCGUAAAGGACGCGUAGGCGGCUCAUGAAGGCUGUGGUGAAAGUCCGGGGCUCAACCUCGGAUCGGCCGUGGCGACUCGUGGGCUGGAGCACUGUAGAGGCGGGUGGAAUUCCGGGUGUAGCGGUGGAAUGCGUAGAGAUCCGGAAGAACACCAGUGGCGAAGGCGGCCCGCUGGGCAGUGGCUGACGCUGAAGCGCGACAGCGUGGGGAGCAAACAGG